CCAAGGCGCGUGGGUUCGAAACCCGCAGGGGACAACAUUACAUCCAGAGCCAACUUCUCAGCUCCUAAAAUAAUGAGAUGUGAACCUGCCAAGUAGGUACCUUCGGGCGGAUCUACUACUUGAUUUAGCUGAUUUUUCCUGGGCUGGGAACCUGUAUUGCAUGUACCAAAUCCUGUCUUUCAUUAAUUUUCCUAUGUUCCUGUUAUAUUCUUGGUGUUGUUCAACACUAAGCAUUCCUCCUGUAUAACCAACUCUUGCCUGUAUUUAAUAUCACACAAGGACUUGUCAUAAGCACUGCUUGCAUAUGAGUAUAACAGAAGA
This 321-nucleotide small RNA is filed under the name Histoplasma capsulatum var. duboisii H88. RNAcentral describes it as "Histoplasma capsulatum H88 hypothetical RNA". Lineage: Eukaryota; Fungi; Ascomycota; Eurotiomycetes; Onygenales; Ajellomycetaceae. The record is from RNAcentral.